UACAGAGGUCCCAAGCGUUGUUCGGAUUUACUGGGCGUAAAGGGUGCGUAGGCGGUCAAAUAAGUCUGAUGUGAAAUCUCGGAGCCUAACUCCGAAACUGCAUUGGAAACUGUUUGACUUGAGGAGUGGAGGGGAGACUGGAAUUCUCGGUGUAGCAGUGAAAUGCGUAGAUAUCGUGAGGAACCCCAGUGGCGAAGGCGGGUCCCUGGACAUUUCCUGACGCUGAGGCACGAAAGCCAGGGGAGCAAACGGGAUUAGAUACCCCGGUAGUCUGGGCUGUAAACGGUGCGCAUUUGGUGUGGGCGGAUUCGACCCCGCCAGUGGCGAAGCUAACGCGAUAAAUGCGCCGCCUGGGGAGUACGGUCGCAAGAUUA
RNAcentral lists this ribosomal RNA (374 nucleotides) under uncultured prokaryote. RNAcentral describes it as "bacterial SSU rRNA". It matches the Rfam family "Bacterial small subunit ribosomal RNA", at positions 524 to 896 of the family's 1533-position model. The record is from RNAcentral.